This 389-nucleotide long non-coding RNA is filed under the name Capsella grandiflora. Its description in RNAcentral is "long non-coding RNA (CGRA_LNC001473)". The record is from RNAcentral. Lineage: Eukaryota; Viridiplantae; Streptophyta; Magnoliopsida; Brassicales; Brassicaceae.
CAUCCCAAUCAGGUCUCGUAAAGCUUCCAGUUUUACUGUUAUUUUAUGGAUUAUUCAAUGCUUCGAGUGGUUAAGAGGUCCCCUGUAUCGAGUGGAGAUGCGUGUGCUCAGAUUGUAUCAAGGAAAGCGUCUGUAACAGGAUAAACCGGUUGAUUUCUUGGUUUUAAGGAGAGGACUAAACCAAGAGGCUAACCGGUUUAUCCUGUUACAGCGUCUGAUGGAGUUGUCCUGACUAUGACAUGGGAAUUGUAAUGCUUUCGACUAGCCUCUAAUUUUCUUGCCGUAAAGUUGGAAACUUGGAGUCAGUCAGGUCAAUCUUGAAACUUUACUCUGUUUUGCUUUAUAAAUUGUUUGGGUGUAUGCUACUGUUUGUUUGUGGGUUUAAAAAA